Molecule: ribosomal RNA, 301 nt
Filed under: uncultured bacterium
Lineage: Bacteria
Description: partial 16S ribosomal RNA
Rfam family: Bacterial small subunit ribosomal RNA
Source: RNAcentral
CAGUAGCCGCGGUAAUACGGAGGGUGCAAGCGUUAAUCGGAAUUACUGGGCGUAAAGCGCACGCAGGCGGUUUGUUAAGUCAGAUGUGAAAUCCCCGAGCUUAACUUGGGAACUGCAUUUGAAACUGGCAAGCUAGAGUCUUGUAGAGGGGGGUAGAAUUCCAGGUGUAGCGGUGAAAUGCGUAGAGAUCUGGAGGAAUACCGGUGGCGAAGGCGGCCCCCUGGACAAAGACUGACGCUCAGGUGCGAAAGCGUGGGGAGCAAACAGGAUUAGAUACCCCUGUAGUCCCUGUCUCUUAUAU